Molecule: transfer RNA, 98 nt
Filed under: Streptomyces sp. ADI98-10
Lineage: Bacteria; Bacillati; Actinomycetota; Actinomycetes; Kitasatosporales; Streptomycetaceae
Description: tRNA-Ala
Source: RNAcentral
CGGUGGUCUGCUGGGCGGCCCAGCCGGGGGCCAGCUUGCCGGUGGCCGUGCCGACGAGGGCGGGGGCGCCGGCGCCGUUCGCCUCGGCGACGACCGGC